CUAUGAGUGUCAUAAUCAUCCGGUGGGUCUAAAGCGAGUGCAGAGUCCCAAAAUGUUUGCAUUAUUGUGUUUGCCACAUCAUUGACAGCUCCAGAGCUACUUUCCACCUAUAAAGCCAUACAGAAUAGUAAAAUCAUAUAACAUGUAUAAUU
Neltuma alba is the source of this 152-nucleotide long non-coding RNA. RefSeq lists it as uncharacterized. The transcript has 3 exons. The record is from RefSeq and is a predicted model, not a curated record. Lineage: Eukaryota; Viridiplantae; Streptophyta; Magnoliopsida; Fabales; Fabaceae.